Molecule: ribosomal RNA, 201 nt
Filed under: uncultured bacterium
Lineage: Bacteria
Description: partial 16S ribosomal RNA
Rfam family: Bacterial small subunit ribosomal RNA
Source: RNAcentral
CGGAUCGGAGUCUGCAACCCGACUCCAUGAAGCUGGAUUCGCUAGUAAUCGCGCAUCAGCCACGGCGCGGUGAAUACGUUCCCGGGCCUUGUACACACCGCCCGUCAAGCCAUGGGAGUCGGGAGUGCCUGAAGUUCGUGACCGUCACAGGAGCGACCUAAGGCAAGACCGAUGACUGGGGCUAAGUCGUAACAAGGUAGC